GACGGGGUUUCACCUUGUUAGCCAGGAUGGUCUCGAUCUCCUGACCUCGUGAUCCACCCGCCUCGGCCUCCCAAAGUGCUGGGAUUACAGGCGUGAGCCACCGCGCCCAGCCUGUAAGCCUAAAUUUUUGUGGCUGUGGGAUGGACAAGGACCCAGUCUUUAGCUGAACUAAGGAAAAGUCCUGCAACAAUAAAUUUCAGAAGUUUGAUCUUAACAGAUGAGGAGACUGAAGCCCACAGAGAUCUGAUAGAAAACAGCUGGAUGUGCUAACAGAGCAUCAGACUUGGAAUCAGGUGGAUCCUAGAUUGGCUACUUCCUAACCUCAGAAAAGUGACAUAAUGUCUAUGGUGAAGUCAUCCAUCUGAAACACAAUGCAGUGAAAUCCACUUUAAAUUUUGAUUGUGAAAGCUUUACUGAGGUUUAUUUGAUACACAAUGAUCGUAUCAUUAUGGCUACAAGAAAAGUAAUCAACAAAGUAUACACUUGGAUAAAUGUUGACAUAAGUAUAUACCUGUAAAACUAUCACUACAAUCAAGAUAAUGAACAUGUCCACGUGCUCCCAAAGUUUCUGCACAAUCCUUCCCAUCCUUCCUUGUUCUUGGAACUGCUAAUCAACUAUAGGUUAGUUUGCAUUUUCUGGAAUUUUAUAUUAAUAGAAUCAUAUAGUGUGGACUCUCUUUGGAGUUUAGUUUCCUUCACUUGGCAUAAUUAUUUUGAGAUUCACCCUUGUUGUGGCAUGUAUCAAUAGUUUAUUCUUAUUUAUUGCUGACUAGUAUUUCAUUGUAUGGGCAUACCACAGUAUGUUUAUUCCUUCAGCUCGUGGUGGAUAUUUAUAUUGUUUCCAGCUUUUUGCCUAUUGUUUUUAAAAGCUGCUAUAAAAAUUGUAUUCAUGUCUUUGCAUGAACAUAUGCUUUUAUUUAUCUUGAGUAAAUGCCUAGGAGUAGAGUGGCUGUAUCAUAAGGUAGAUGUAUAUUUAACUGUUUACGAAACUUGCUGACCAUUUUCCAAUGUGGUUGUAUACUUUACAUUCCCACCAGCAAUGUAUGGGAGUCUAUUCCUCCACAUUCACACCAAUGCUCGAUAUGGUCAGUCUUUAAUUUUAGCCAUUCUAAAAUGUUUGUAGAGUAUCUCAUUGUGUUUUUAAUUUUAAUUAAAUUUCUGAAAUAACAAAUUAUAUUGAG
This is a long non-coding RNA of Homo sapiens (human), 1181 nucleotides long. Ensembl annotates it as long intergenic non-protein coding RNA 1448. The record is from Ensembl. NCBI's taxonomy places the organism in Eukaryota, Metazoa, Chordata, Mammalia, Primates, Hominidae.